CUUGGUUAUGGUGAUAUGGUACCUGCUACAAUCAUGGGUAAAAUUGUUGGUGGUGUUUGUUCUCUUAGUGGUGUUUUGGUAAUCGCUCUUCCGGUUCCAGUAAAUUUUUUAU
Non-coding RNA from Thelazia callipaeda (thelaziosis nematode), 112 nucleotides. Lineage: Eukaryota; Metazoa; Nematoda; Chromadorea; Rhabditida; Thelaziidae. The record is from Rfam.